Molecule: ribosomal RNA, 465 nt
Filed under: uncultured bacterium
Lineage: Bacteria
Description: partial 16S ribosomal RNA
Rfam family: Bacterial small subunit ribosomal RNA
Source: RNAcentral
CCUACGGGUGGCAGCAGUAGGGAAUCUUCCACAAUGGGCGCAAGCCUGAUGGAGCAACACCGCGUGAGUGAAGAAGGCUUUCGGCUCGUAAAGCUCUUUUGUUGGGGAAGAACGUGCGUGGGAGUAACUGUUCACGCAGUGACGGUAUCCAACCAGGAAGUCACGGCUAACUACGUGCCAGCAGCCGCGGUAAUACGUAGGGGGCAAGCGUUAACCGGAUUUAUUGGGCGUAAAGCGAGCGCAGGCGGUUGCUUAGGUCUGAUGUGAAAGCCUUGGGCUUAACCGAGGAAGUGCAUCAGAAACUGGGCGACUAGAGUGCAGAAGAGGACAGUGGAAUUCCAGGUGUAGCGGUGGAAUGCGUAGAUAUAUGGAAGAACACCAGUGGCGAAGGCGGCUGCCUGGUCAGCAACUGACGCUGAGGCUCGAAAGCAUGGGGAGCGAACAGGAUUAGAUACCCUGGUAGUC